UACAAGCAAGGUGGUAAACGUUAAG
Molecule: unclassified non-coding RNA, 25 nt
Filed under: Mus musculus (house mouse)
Lineage: Eukaryota; Metazoa; Chordata; Mammalia; Rodentia; Muridae
Description: oocyte_clustered_small_RNA8699
Source: RNAcentral